Molecule: ribosomal RNA, 253 nt
Filed under: uncultured bacterium
Lineage: Bacteria
Description: partial 16S ribosomal RNA
Rfam family: Bacterial small subunit ribosomal RNA
Source: RNAcentral
AACGUAGGUACCGAGCGUUAUCCGGAUUUACUGGGCGUAAAGCGCGUUCAGGCGGUUUGGCAAGUCGGGCAUGAAAUCUCUCGGCUCAACCGGGAGAGGUUGUCCGAUACUUCCAGACUUGAGGGCAGUAGAGGGUGGUGGAAUUCCGGGUGUAGUGGUGAAAUGCGUAGAUAUCCGGAGGAACACCAGUGGCGAAGGCAGCCCCCUGGGCUGAGAUUGACGCUCAGGCACGAAAGCGUGGGGAGCAAACAGG